CUUCCUCAAGAAAGAUGUCGUCUAUCCAAAAAAAAUCUUCAAAAGAAAACCGCUUCACUAGCUCCUUCCUUACUGAGUCUUAACCUUGAAUGAAAAGCCAAGGCUUCAUCCUCCUCCCUCCUCGGACGGACCCCAUCCUUCUUCAAUUCUGUAAUACCCGGCUAGACUCCGGUAUCGGAAUUCCUACCGUCCGGUGGAAUCUCGGAUGUCGGAAACCUCUAGAAGGGUAAAACCAUGUUUUAUAAAAUGUUUUUAAUGUAUUUUAUGUUUUUAAGCAAAAAGGAAAUUGAGUUUUGAAUGAAAAAGACCAAAGGAGGCUUUGCCAGGUUCGACCGCCGAAAGUUAGGUUCGGCCGCCGAACAUGGUGGGGUUUUGGGAGCGCUUUAGGCCUUCGAAAGCCUUGCUUGAAAGACUCAAGGUUCGGCCGCCGAACCUCAUGUUCGGCCGCC
Molecule: long non-coding RNA, 449 nt
Filed under: Manihot esculenta (cassava)
Lineage: Eukaryota; Viridiplantae; Streptophyta; Magnoliopsida; Malpighiales; Euphorbiaceae
Description: long non-coding RNA (MESC_LNC012735)
Source: RNAcentral